RNAcentral lists this unclassified non-coding RNA (224 nucleotides) under uncultured fungus. Its description in RNAcentral is "sequence contains ITS2". The record is from RNAcentral. Lineage: Eukaryota; Fungi.
AACCCUCAAAGUAAAUCUUUCGUUCAUUCGAUUGAUUCUAUUUUGGAUUUGGAGGUCUUGCAGAUCCAUGUCUGCUCCUCUCAAAAGCAUUAGCUGGAUCCUCCGUGAGCUCGGUUCCACUCGGUGUGAUAAGUAUCACUCGCUGAGGACACUGUAAAAAGUGGCCGGGAUUGCAGAUGAACUGCUUCUUAAUCGUCUAUUGGUUUAGACAAUUGAACUUUAUG